CACUCCUGCGGGAGGCAGCAGUGGGGAAUUUUGGACAAUGGGCGCAAGCCUGAUCCAGCCAUGCCGCGUGCGGGAAGAAGGCCUUCGGGUUGUAAACCGCUUUUGUCAGGGAAGAAAAGGUUCUGGCUAAUACCUGGGACUCAUGACGGUACCUGAAGAAUAAGCACCGGCUAACUACGUGCCAGCAGCCGCGGUAAUACGUAGGGUGCAAGCGUUAAUCGGAAUUACUGGGCGUAAAGCGUGCGCAGGCGGUUAUGCAAGACAGAGGUGAAAUCCCCGGGCUCAACCUGGGAACUGCCUUUGUGACUGCAUGGCUAGAGUACGGUAGAGGAGGAUGGAAUUCCGCGUGUAGCAGUGAAAUGCGUAGAUAUGCGGAGGAACACCGAUGGCGAAGGCAAUCCCCUGGACCUGUACUGACGCUCAUGCACGAAAGCGUGGGGAGCAAACAGGAGUAGAUACCCGUGUAGUCCCAUGA
RNAcentral lists this ribosomal RNA (475 nucleotides) under uncultured organism. Its description in RNAcentral is "partial 16S ribosomal RNA". It matches the Rfam family "Bacterial small subunit ribosomal RNA", at positions 334 to 800 of the family's 1533-position model. The record is from RNAcentral.